This is a long non-coding RNA of Oreochromis aureus, 1654 nucleotides long. NCBI's taxonomy places the organism in Eukaryota, Metazoa, Chordata, Actinopteri, Cichliformes, Cichlidae. The record is from Ensembl.
CCAGGUUGUAUCAGAGGGUUCAGCCCUCACGUGUCCCGGCAGGUCCCUGAGGUCCUGUGACCCGGGCCUGCUGACGGGCCCGACUACGCUGAAAACAAAAGGAGGCAGAGCCUUCUGUUCUGGAGGGUGACCGUCCACACCGAAACGGUUGUGGACCCUGCAGGUCAGCAAACCCACCUUGAACCACCAUGACCAGCGUCAACUCUCCAGCCUGCCUGCUCGCCCGAAACCACUUCUACCGAAGUCUACCGCCGAGUCCAGAACCCACCAAGCCCGCACACAAGCAGAGACUGCCCACGCUUUGGGUUACCGUGGAAACAGCUCCAGGACUGCCGGGUCUCGUGGGAACCAAAGGAUUAUGGGUCAGCAUCGUCCUCGGCUCUUCUUCCUCUUCCUCCAACUUCAAACCAAGCAACCCCGCCGACCAGAGAGCCAAGUAGAUGAAACAAGCACACCGUUCCUCUGCGUUCCUCUGAACGUCCACACUCAAUAACAGGGCGGCGAUCCCCUGGGGACAGGCUCCUCCUCCUCUGAGCUCACUGUAGCAGGCAACGAACCACAGAGCGACCCUCCAGAACCACGAGCAGGGCGUGGCUAAAAAAAAAAAUGGCUCCAGUUCCUCAAACCAAAGCGUGAACUCGUUCCUGAUUGGUUUAUGGUUUUGUUGCUGUUUUCAGGUGUCAGUGAAUAAAACGUGAAACUGGUGAAGUGAUGGUGAUGUUAGAGCAGGGCGCCCGGAUGAAGAGCCCCACACGGCCACAGAAGCUCGUUUCACUUCCUCUUUUAGUUCCUGUGAUAUUUGAGGCCACAUGUGCGAACUGUGACGAGGGCUUUAAUCUAAACGUUCUGACUGCAUGUGUGACGAUUAUCACACUAAUUUCACACGCGUGUUCUUUAAACUGCAUUCAGUGAUGUUUGAUUUACUGUUUUGUGGGCGUCUUCGUUUUCACCUCCUAAAUAAACGGCGCUCGGUCCCUGUGCAUGCUGCAGGCCGGGACCACUUCAGUAUAUGUCAGAGAACAUGACGCAUGCUAAUCUGCAGGCAGUUCAUAGAUGCAGUGACAGGUGUCUACAGGUGUGCGGAGACAGGUAGAUUUACCUGCUGCAUCGGGUUGAUGCUGAUAUUUCAUCACGGCCUCCGGAGUGAGCUUUAUGUCUCAAUCUGCUCCAACAAUGAAAUCAAAUAAAGUGCAACAGCUGAGCGAGCUUUCAUUCAGCAAUAAAGCUACACAACAUGGGGCGCUCAUUUACAAACACCAGUCGAACUGAAGUUUCACACUUUGUUUGGUAGAAAAAAAUCAAAUUGUUGCUUAAAUUUUCACAAAAUGUCAGAAUCUGCACGUCAUGAACAAAAAUUUAAAGCUAAUUUUUCAGGAUUUGUUGGGUUCAUCCUCUGGGGGCCGCGAUGUCAUUUGUAUUUCACCUCUUUCCCCUCCUCGCCGUGUUUGGUCUCAUUCUCUUCAGCUCAGCCUCACGUGUCUGAAUUUACACUGAUUGUUUCACGGACAUGUUGUAGAAACACAACUGAUCUGAAAUCACACAAAAACAUAAAAUCCUCGUAGUAGUUAUAUUUGUUUACUGUUAAAAGCACAAACAUGUUUAGUGAAUGAUUUUCAAAACUUGAAAUGCAAAUAUAAACUGAAAACCUAAGCAC